This is a long non-coding RNA of Camelus dromedarius (Arabian camel), 946 nucleotides long. RefSeq lists it as uncharacterized. The transcript is spliced from 4 exons. The record is from RefSeq and is a predicted model, not a curated record. Lineage: Eukaryota; Metazoa; Chordata; Mammalia; Artiodactyla; Camelidae.
UAUAAAAACAAAUUUUGUAAAUAUAUAAAUAUGUGACUCUUACUGGAAUCAAAUAGGUAAGAAGGCAACUAAUCUUUUGAAAGGCCUGGAUGACCAAAUCAGCGUGGCCUAAACGAACUUUCAUCACUAGAGAUUCAAAAUGCAGUUAACCCUUGAACAACAUGGGUUUGAAUCCAUGUGUGGGUCCACUUAUACAUGGAUUUUUUUUCAAUAGUAAAUAGUACCUCACUACACAGUCCAUGGUUGGUUGAAUUGGGGGUACAAAAUUUUGGAUAUGGAGGAACCGUGGGUAAAGAGGACUGACUAUAAGUUAUAUGCAGAUUUUUGACUGUGUGAGCAUUGGUGCCAAGGCCCUGCAUUGUUCGAUGGUCAACUGAAAUUCUUCAGCUUUUAACAAACUCAGGCAAAGAAGAGCUGAGAAACCUAUUUAUUCCCAAAGGAAGGCAUAGUCCUUAACACGUGGCCAAAGAAGAUAAUGGGAGAAGAGUAUUCCUGAGAGCUAAGUCAGAGACUGAAAAACGAUCUUCAGACCAUGAGGAGCCUGAGGAAGACUACAGAAUGCCAGUCAGAGACCCUGCCUUUGAUCAGAAGAAGUUACUGAAAAGGGGAUCCUAAAGUCACCCCUGGGGAAGGAGUACUUGUCUGCCACACAAGGAGAAGAGAGAAAAUGGGUUCCCAGUGAUAAGUCCAAAGGUUGACUACAGACACCCAAGGGCUGUCCAUCAAAGUCCAAUUCUCCUGUCCUUCCAGCCACGCAGGAGAACCACAUGCCUCCUGAAGAUCAAUGUGGCCUUUGGGCAAAGAAAUUGAUUUUUUCAUUGUGUAUGGAUACACUGUUAACAGAAGUUCUGACAUGAGGACAUUGGUCAUCACAUGGAGUGCAGCUGACCUGGAGAAUCACCUUGAUACAAAAUGAACUAGGUGUGAAUGGCCAACAUCUGAAUCA